Beta vulgaris subsp. vulgaris (sugar beet) is the source of this 687-nucleotide long non-coding RNA. RefSeq lists it as uncharacterized. The record is from RefSeq and is a predicted model, not a curated record. The transcript is spliced from 2 exons. NCBI's taxonomy places the organism in Eukaryota, Viridiplantae, Streptophyta, Magnoliopsida, Caryophyllales, Amaranthaceae.
GGUUUCUGCUUGUCUUAUUUUUUCUAUCAGAAGAGCUGUUUCUUCUUCUCUCACACUGCGAAAAGACCGAACUCUUUUGUUGCUCAACAAGUGGAGUACACACACACUCUUCAUCUGCCUCCAGUAUUCUCCAUAAGACGAAACGACAAGCGUUGGCACACUACCGAGUUGAAUCAUCAUGAGGUCUCCAUAUUUCUCGGACAUCAACCGGAGUGAGCGGUGAGGUUGAGUACCAAGCUGAUGUAUGUUGCCUAAGAUUGGUAGCUUUGGUGGAGAAGGAGGCAAGUUUUUCCUGGAAACUGUUCUGAAUUGAAGCCAUUUGUAGAAGAAGAAUAAGAAGACUAUGGAUAGUAGAAGUGUGAAAGGUUGCAACCAGAUGAAUUUGAGCAAUUGUUGAAUACUUGAAAUUGUCAUCUGUAAGAUUAUGCCUUUUCUUUUAUGAUAGAUGAAAUUCAGGGGCUUUGAUCCACACUUUUUUUGGCAAUGAAAUAAUGAAUGGUCCUGUGUUAGUUAGGAGGAGUUGUCAGGCUGUAGCUGCACAAGCUAUUCUUGUACUAACAUGUAGGCAAAAAAAAUUAAAUAGACAUGGUCAGACACUAAAUUUAGGGUGGACCUAAUGCUAUCACGUGUAACUAUUGUGGGAAAUACUUCUUCCGUUUCAUAAUACACGCUACACUUUUCAUUGUA